RNAcentral lists this ribosomal RNA (490 nucleotides) under uncultured bacterium. RNAcentral describes it as "partial 16S ribosomal RNA". It matches the Rfam family "Bacterial small subunit ribosomal RNA", at positions 28 to 507 of the family's 1533-position model. The record is from RNAcentral.
GAUGAACGCUAGCUACAGGCUUAACACAUGCAAGUCGCGGGGCAGCAUGGGGGUUGCUUGCACUCCCCGAUGGCGACCGGCGCACGGGUGAGUAACGCGUAUUCAACCUGCCCUUCACCACGGGAUAACCCGGCGAAAGUCGGACUAAUACCGUAUGUUGUCCAUUGACGGCAUCCGAUUUGGACGAAAGGCUUGGCGGUGAGGGAUGGGGAUGCGUCCGAUUAGCCAGACGGCGGGGUAACGGCCCACCGUGGCUACGAUCGGUAGGGGUUCUGAGAGGAAGGUCCCCCACACUGGAACUGAGACACGGUCCAGACUCCUACGGGAGGCAGCAGUGAGGAAUAUUGGUCAAUGGGCGUAAGCCUGAACCAGCCAAGUAGCGUGCAGGAUGACGGCCCUAUGGGUUGUAAACUGCUUUUAUGCGGGGAUAAAGUGGCCCACGUGUGGGCUUUUGCAGGUACCGCAUGAAUAAGGACCGGCUAAUUCCGUG